CCUACGGGAGGCAGCAGUGAGGAAUAUUGGUCAAUGGGCGAGAGCCUGAACCAGCCAAGUCGCGUGAGGGAGUACUGCCCUAUGGGUUGUAAACCUCUUUUGUCGGGGAGCAAAAGCCGCAAGUGUCCGGCUGUGAGAGUAUACGAAGAAAAAGAAUCGGCUUAAUCCGUGCCAGAAGCGGCGGUAAUACGGAGGAUGCGAGCGUUCUACGGAUUUAUUGGGUGUAAAGGGUGCGCAGGCGGGUUGUUAAGUCAGCGGUCAAAUCGUGGGGCUCAACCCCAUCCCGCCGUUGAAACUGGGGAUCUAGAGUGUGCGAGAGGUAUGCGGAAUGCGUGGUGUAGCGGUGAAAUGCAUAGAUAUCACGCAGAACCCCGAUUGCGAAGGCAGCAUACCGG
Molecule: ribosomal RNA, 395 nt
Filed under: uncultured bacterium
Lineage: Bacteria
Description: partial 16S ribosomal RNA
Rfam family: Bacterial small subunit ribosomal RNA
Source: RNAcentral